GCGCCGCGGUGCCGUGCGCGGCCAGGGCGUUGGAGCCGCCCUCGGGAAGCACGUAAGCGCGCCCCCAGCGCCGUUCGAGGCGGCGGCGGGUCGCC
This 95-nucleotide transfer RNA is filed under the name Streptomyces sp. MP131-18. Its description in RNAcentral is "tRNA-Ser". The record is from RNAcentral. Lineage: Bacteria; Bacillati; Actinomycetota; Actinomycetes; Kitasatosporales; Streptomycetaceae.